RNAcentral lists this small nucleolar RNA (134 nucleotides) under Meriones unguiculatus (Mongolian gerbil). Its description in RNAcentral is "Small nucleolar RNA SNORA17 (ENSMUGG00000021669.1)". It matches the Rfam family "Small nucleolar RNA SNORA17". Rfam says of the family: snoRNA ACA 17 belongs to the H/ACA family of snoRNAs and is predicted to guide pseudouridylation of the 28S rRNA at positions U4659 and U4598. It shares the same host gene together with ACA43. The record is from RNAcentral. Lineage: Eukaryota; Metazoa; Chordata; Mammalia; Rodentia; Muridae.
CCUACCUCUAGAAGCUUUGCCGAUGUGGCUGCUGUGCCACACAUAUGUGUCAGUAGGUGGCAGAGAGGAGAGAGGCGAUGUCUAUGCUCAGUGUUCCAACCAAUGAACAUCUGAAUGAUUAGUAGCCUAAUAUU